RNAcentral lists this ribosomal RNA (277 nucleotides) under Salmonella enterica subsp. enterica. RNAcentral's name for it is "partial 23S ribosomal RNA". It matches the Rfam family "Bacterial large subunit ribosomal RNA", at positions 911 to 1185 of the family's 2925-position model. RNAcentral also lists the same sequence under 1 other name. Lineage: Bacteria; Pseudomonadati; Pseudomonadota; Gammaproteobacteria; Enterobacterales; Enterobacteriaceae. The record is from RNAcentral.
UGUUUCGGCUAGGGGGCCAUCCCGGCUUACCAACCCGAUGCAAACUGCGAAUACCGGAGAAUGUUAUCACGGGAGACACACGGCGGGUGCUAACGUCCGUCGUGAAGAGGGAAACAACCCAGACCGCCAGCUAAGGUCCCAAAGUCAUGGUUAAGUGGGAAACGAUGUGGGAAGGCCCAGACAGCCAGGAUGUUGGCUUAGAAGCAGCCAUCAUUUAAAGAAAGCGUAAUAGCUCACUGGUCGAGUCGGCCUGCGCGGAAGAUGUAACGGGGCUAAA